GCAUGAAGCCGGAAUCGCUAGUAAUCGCGGAUCAGAAUGCCGCGGUGAAUACGUUCCCGGGUCUUGUACACACCGCCCGUCACACCAUGGGAGUCGGAGAUGCCCGAAGUCGGUGACCCAACUGCAAAGAGGGAGCCGCCGAAGGCAGGUCCGGUAACUGGGGUGAAGUCGUAACAAGGUAAC
This 183-nucleotide ribosomal RNA is filed under the name uncultured bacterium. Its description in RNAcentral is "partial 16S ribosomal RNA". It matches the Rfam family "Bacterial small subunit ribosomal RNA", at positions 1318 to 1500 of the family's 1533-position model. The record is from RNAcentral.